Molecule: long non-coding RNA, 1542 nt
Filed under: Marmota monax (woodchuck)
Lineage: Eukaryota; Metazoa; Chordata; Mammalia; Rodentia; Sciuridae
Source: RNAcentral
CUUGGGGGACUCUGAACCCCAGAGAGGGAUGCUCUUUGCCCCAUUACCCCGGCCCCUCCUGGUGCCCCCGAGUUGCGACCAGCAUGUGGGCUGCCCCCAGGCACGGGCAGAAAGAAGCCCCGUGAGGCAUCUCACUGGGUUGGCAGCCAGCCUUCCCCAGGCCUCAGGUGCCCGGCCUGGUCGGGCUUGGCUUGUGACUGAGGAGGAAGCCAGGCCUGGAGAGGCUGACUCACCUUCCUGGUCACCAAGCAAAGUGGCUAAGGGGAGAUGCACACCGCGUGGCAGAGUCCAGGGCCUUGGUUUUCCUACUGCCUGAUGUGGCCUCCCCACCAUCGGGGUCUCCAGCAGGGUCCGCCUUUGGGAGCUGAGCUGAGUGGUGUGGGGACAGCAUGGGAGCGGGUGGCUGGGCAGGAGGGAAGAGGCCAGGAACCAGACUGGGCUUUACUCCCGGGCUCUGGCUUCUACUCUUCCUGAUUUGGCAGGUGACUGUGCUUUGUCAACACCCUCCUGUGGCUUCCCUUGGUGCCAGUCUAUUUUACUAUUUUAUUUAUUUUUAUUGUUGAUGUUUCAGGGUGGUUCUUCUCCUUCUCCUUCCCAGAGGGGCUUUACCACUGAGCUACAUCCCCAACCUUUUUUAUUUUUUAUUUUGAGACAGAGUCAUACUAAGUUGCUUAGGGCCUUGCUUAGGCCUGGCCUCAAACUUGCAAUCCUCCUGCCUCCAUCUCCAGAGCUGCUGGGAUGACGGGCAUGUGUCAUUGCACCCAACUUUUUUAUUAUUUAAGCUUAUUAUUUUUUUUUAAUUAAGUUUACGCCAUUGAGUUUAUUGUUUUACUUAUUGGGGGGUGGUGCUUGGGAUGGAACCCAGGGCCUGGCACGUGCUAGCCAGGUGCUAGCCAGGGAACCGCAGCCCAGAGGCUUUAUUCACUUUUAUUUAUUUAAAUUCAAAUACUCCGAAGAGCUGCAGUGUGCUUUGCAAUGCUGCGAGGCAGGAGCUUUGAGCAGGCCUUGCUUCAGGCCCUGGGUUCCAUCCCCAGCACCGCAAAAAAGAAAGAAAGGAGCAAGGAAGCUGCUCAGGGUCACACAGCGGGGACACCUGCCCUCCCUGGGGCUGCAUUGGCACAAACCUGGACAGGAUGGGGGCCUUUGGCAUGUGCAGAUGGGGACGUGCGUUGACUGGAGAGAUUGAGAGUGCGAAACAGGGAGAGAGGGGAUCAAUGGCCCAUUAAUUGCCUAAAAACGCGACACCAGGUCAGCUUCAUUCUCGGAGGAAGGAUCCUGGAGUCUCCCUCCCAUCGGGAGGAAUGACCGGUUCGCACUUCUCCCUAAGCAUUGCCAAGAAGUCUUCGCCAGUGGUAACCAACCACACCACGCCUAAUUGCAAAAGCAGGACUGUGUUUAAAUCACGUCUUGCAAAAAGUUUCUACAGCUAACAAAGAGACACCUAAUUUGGGACGUGGGUGUGUUUGGGAAGGUUUGCGACGGCGCCUUGAAGGCGCGAAGUCCAGGUGGAGCGCGGUGGGGCAGGCCGCAAGACCUCGCAAC